Molecule: ribosomal RNA, 445 nt
Filed under: uncultured bacterium
Lineage: Bacteria
Description: bacterial SSU rRNA
Rfam family: Bacterial small subunit ribosomal RNA
Source: RNAcentral
CCAGACUCCUACGGGAGGCAGCAGUGGGGAAUAUUGCACAAUGGGGGGAACCCUGAUGCAGCGACGCCGCGUGGGUGAAGGAGCACCUCGGUGCGUAAAGCCCUAUCGGCAGGGAAGAAAAAGACGGCACCUGACUAAGAAGCCCCGGCUAACUACGUGCCAGCAGCCGCGGUAAUACGUAGGGGGCAAGCGUUAUCCGGAUUCACUGGGUGUAAAGGGAGCGUAGACGGCGACGCAAGUCUGGAGUGAAAGCCCGGGGCCCAACCCCGGGACUGCUCUGGAAACUGCGUCGCUGGAGUGCGGGAGGGGCAGGCGGAAUUCCUGGUGUAGCGGUGAAAUGCGUAGAUAUCAGGAGGAGCACCGGCGGCGAAGGCGGCCUGCUGGACCGUGACUGACGUUGAGGCGCGAGAGCGUGGGGAGCAAACAGGAUUAGAUACCCGCGUAA